RNAcentral lists this ribosomal RNA (513 nucleotides) under uncultured bacterium. Its description in RNAcentral is "partial 16S ribosomal RNA". It matches the Rfam family "Bacterial small subunit ribosomal RNA", at positions 28 to 523 of the family's 1533-position model. The record is from RNAcentral.
GACGAACGCUGGCGGCAUGCCUAAUACAUGCAAGUCGAGCGAACAGAUGAAGUGCUUGCACUUCUGACGUUAGCGGCGAACGGGUGAGUAACACGUAAGGAAUCUACCUAUAAGCGGGGGAUAACAUUCGGAAACGGGUGCUAAUACCGCAUAAUAUCUUCUUCCGCAUGGAAGAAGAUUGAAAGACGGCUCUGCUGUCACUUAUAGAUUACCUUGCGUUGAAUUAGUUAGUUGGGUGGGUAAGGGCCUACCACGCCGAUGAUGCAUAGCCGACCUGAUAGGGUGUCCGGCCACAUUGGGACUGAGACACGGACCAAACUCCUACGGGAGGCACCAGUAGGGAAUCUUCCGCAAUGGGCGAAAGCCUGAGUGGGCAAUGCCGCGUGAGUGAAGAAGGCCUUCGGGUCGUAAAACUCUGUUAUAAGAGAAGAACAAAUUGUAGAGUAACUGCUACAGUCUUGACGGUAUCUUAUCAGAAAGCCACGGCUAACUACGUGCCAGCCGCCGCGGUAA